RNAcentral lists this long non-coding RNA (478 nucleotides) under Mytilus galloprovincialis (Mediterranean mussel). Lineage: Eukaryota; Metazoa; Mollusca; Bivalvia; Mytilida; Mytilidae. The record is from RNAcentral.
AUAUAAAAAAGAAGAUGUGGUAUGAUUGCCAAUGAGACAACUAUCCACAAAAGACCUAAAUGACACAGACUUUAACAACUAUAGGUCACCGUACGGCCUUCAACAAUGAGCAAAGCCCAUAUCGCAUAGUCAGCUAUAAAAGGCCCCGAUAAGACAAUGUUAAACAAUUCAAACGAGAAAACUAACGGCCUUAUUUAUGUAAAAAAAAAAUGAACGAAAAACAAAUAUGUAACACAUAAACAAACGACUACCACUGAAUUACAGGCUCCUGACUUGGGACAGGCACAUACAUAAAUAAUGUGGCGGGGUUAAACAUGUUAACGGGAUCCCAACCCUCCCCUAACCUGGUACAGUGGUAUAACAGUACAACAUAAGAACGAACUAUAAAAAUCAGUUGAAAAGGGCUUAACUCAUCAGAUGGACAAAAAUACAAGUGGACGUGGCCCGGUACUUUUACAUCCCGACACAAAAAGACACA